AUGGAUAGUGAGAGGGACAGCAUCCCGGGCAGUUUUAUGGCACUACUAAACAUGGUUGAGCAGCCAAUGUCAAAUUUGAAUCCACAGAACAAUCUGAAGUCAGUACCCGAAGAUAGUUCUUGCUUUUCUGAUAGACCUUAUUGCUCAGAAGACAAUGAUGUACUUUCGAGACCAAACUUAAGGGUGGACACUUACGAUUAUGCUGAUGACUCAAAUGAAGUCCAGUCCCGUCUUGAAUGUAUCAAAGACACCAUUGAAAUUCCAGAUAUGAUAUCUGGGCCUGAAAAUCUAGAUCAGGAUUACUUAUUUUCUGCAUACAAUGUUCACACUGAGGAGUCUGAUUCUAAUGAACGAUACCUUGAAGGAGGACAAGUUGGAGCUGUUGAACACGGAAUUAGAAGUUUUUGUGAAGACACUUCUGUUCAAAUGUUAAGGCCGGUUGUUGGUAUGAAGUUUUCAUCAAAGGCAGAAGCAUAUGACUUCUACAAUACUUAUUCUUGGGUGCUUGGUUUCAGUAUUAGAAAUGGUGAUAAUUUUAUUAAUUCCAAAGGCGUACAAACUAUGCAGGAAUUAAUUUGCCAACGAGCCGGAAUCAACAAGACUACUAAAUAUGCCACUACUAGAUAUGGUUGCAAGGCAACACACAGGGUAAAUCUUAAUGAUAAUUCAGAAUGGUAUGUCAAAGUUUUUAGGCAGGAACACAAUCACUCCCUUGUCGAAUCUUGCAGUGAGAAAAAGCACCUGCAUUCACAUCAACAUAUUGACAAGCCAAUCAGAGAUUUAAUAAAGAAUCUUCGGGAGAAUAAUGUAUCACUCACAAGGGUUAAUUCUAUAGUAGCAGGUUUCUAUGGAUCAACAAAGAAAGUACCAUUCUGUAAGCGCAAGUUGCGUACUGUUUGUUCUCAGAUUGCAAGUGAAACCCUUCAGGACGACAUUGCUAAGACACUGGAGAAUUUCCGUGAUAUGAUAGCAAUGGACGAUAGAUUUUCUUUCUGUGCAUAG
RNAcentral lists this ribosomal RNA (1002 nucleotides) under Triticum aestivum (bread wheat). Its description in RNAcentral is "partial small subunit ribosomal RNA". Lineage: Eukaryota; Viridiplantae; Streptophyta; Magnoliopsida; Poales; Poaceae. The record is from RNAcentral.